RNAcentral lists this ribosomal RNA (435 nucleotides) under uncultured cyanobacterium. RNAcentral's name for it is "bacterial SSU rRNA". It matches the Rfam family "Bacterial small subunit ribosomal RNA", at positions 356 to 803 of the family's 1533-position model. Lineage: Bacteria; Bacillati; Cyanobacteriota. The record is from RNAcentral.
GGGGAAUUUUCCGCAAUGGGCGAAAGCCUGACGGAGCAAUACCGCGUGAGGGAAGACUGCCUAUGGGUUGUAAACCUCUUUUUUCAGGGAGGAACAAAAUGACGUGUACCUGAAGAAUAAGCAUCGGCUAACUCCGUGCCAGCAGCCGCGGUAAGACGGAGGAUGCAAGUGUUAUCCGGAAUCACUGGGCGUAAAGCGUCUGUAGGUGGUUUAAUAAGUCAACUGUUAAAUCUUGAGGCUCAACUUCAAAAUCGCAGUCGAAACUAUUACACUAGAGUAUAGUACAGGUAAAGGGAAUUUCCAGUGGAGCGGUGAAAUGCCUAGAUAUUGGAAAGAACACCGAUGGGAAGAGCACUAUACGGGACGAUUACUAAAACUCAAAGAGGAAAGAGAGGAUUUAUUUUGGGAUUAAAUACCACUGAGAUGCAGGGCUGA